GUGCCAGCAGCCGCGGUAACACGUAGGAGGCGAACGUUAUCCGGAAUUACUGGGCGUAAAGCGCGCGUAGGCGGCUCUGUAAGUCCGACGUGAAAGCUCCUGGCUUAACUGGGAGAGGUCGUUGGAUACUGCAAAGCUCGAGGUUAGGAGAGGAAAGUGGAAUUCCCGGUGUAGUGGUGGAAUGCGUAGAUAUCGGGAGGAACUCCAGUGGCGAAAGCGACUUUCUGGCCUACACCUAACGCUGAAGCGCGAAAGCGUGGGGAGCGAACAGGAUUAGAAACCCCGGUAGUCC
This 292-nucleotide ribosomal RNA is filed under the name uncultured bacterium. RNAcentral describes it as "partial 16S ribosomal RNA". It matches the Rfam family "Bacterial small subunit ribosomal RNA", at positions 505 to 796 of the family's 1533-position model. The record is from RNAcentral.